RNAcentral lists this ribosomal RNA (467 nucleotides) under uncultured bacterium. RNAcentral describes it as "partial 16S ribosomal RNA". It matches the Rfam family "Bacterial small subunit ribosomal RNA", at positions 28 to 506 of the family's 1533-position model. The record is from RNAcentral.
GACGAACGCUGGCGGCGUGCUUAACACAUGCAAGUCGAACGGAAAGGCCCUGCUUUUGUGGGGUGCUCGAGUGGCGAACGGGUGAGUAACACGUGAGUAACCUGCCCUUGACUUUGGGAUAACUUCAGGAAACUGGGGCUAAUACCGGAUAGGAGCUCCUGCUGCAUGGUGGGGGUUGGAAAGUUUCGGCGGUUGGGGAUGGACUCGCGGCUUAUCAGCUUGUUGGUGGGGUAGUGGCUUACCAAGGCUUUGACGGGUAGCCGGCCUGAGAGGGUGACCGGCCACAUUGGGACUGAGAUACGGCCCAGACUCCUACGGGAGGCAGCAGUGGGGAAUAUUGCACAAGGGGCGGAAGCCGGAUGCAGCAACGCCGCGUGCGGGAGGACGGCCUUCGGGUGGUAAACCGCUUUCGCCUGUGACGAAGCGUGAGUGACGGGAAUGGGUAAAGAAGCACCGGCGAACUACGG